UCUUUUUGUUUUUUAAACGUCUGGAAUGGAGCGUAGACUGCAACGGCUCUGAAUAAAUGGCUUUCUGUUAGAUUCAUCCAUGGCUGUUGUUCUUGAAGAUCUGAAAAAAAACUAUUAUCGUUGAAGAGCUAAAAAAACACUUACCGUUUAGAGCAAAAAAGAAUUGUUACCGUUUGAAGACAAUUUGAUCUCUUAUAUAAGAGAGUAAAGUAGUCAGAUAGAGUAAAGUAGCUCUGUUUCCUGUGGACUGUAGUCAGAUAGAGUAAAGUAGCUCUUUUAGGUUGUUUCACAGUCUUACAUAGGAGAAGAUCAGGAACGUUUCGUUGUUCCUAUAAAUUGUUUGCAGAGUGCUUGCUUCCUUGAAUUGCUCAAGGAGGCAGGGGAGGUUUAUGGGUUUGAUGAAAAAGGGCCUCUCAAGCUCCCCUGUAGUGUGGAUCGUUUUCAUUAGGUUUUGCAGUCAAUCUAGAAAGAGAGAGAAAAUUUACAGAAAACCCGGCAAUUUACAGACUAUAUCAGCUGUCAAAUUUGUGCCAUUUCUGAAUUGUGUAUAGCCAGUUAGCAGAAACCGCGAAUGGCCUUGCAAGCAUGACUGAGAUUGUGCAUGAGAGAUUUCGAUUGAGUAGAUGGUUCUGCAGUUGCACUUGCUCUGGCAAUGGACAUAGGCGUAAAUAUGGUGACAAUUAAUGUAGGUCUGGUUGUAGGGCCUGGCUUUGCAUACAAAAUCUCAGGAUCCACCAUAACAUAUCUCAUAGGAUUUCCUAGUGAUCUUGAUGUGACUGCAUUCUACACUCUGAUAUAGCUCAGCUCACUUACUGGAAUUUGGCAGGUCAUAACAGUGGAAAUAUCUCUAAUAUUGAUUCAGGAACAUGAGCACCAAUACCCUAUUCCUUAGCUGGAAGUAACCAAAGAAAUCGAUCUAACAAUCCAUUUGUCCAAAUAUGACUGAAAUAGAAGCUAUAAAUGCAGUUGCAAGUACUCAAGGCUUUUCCAAAGGCAUGAUAAUUGGAGAAGAUGAAAGUCACAAAAUGGAAAAGGAAACAUUUCUGCAUGGUAUGUCGUCUGAUAAUCGAGUCACUCAGCAGUCCUCUAACGUAGGCAAUCUUGGGAAGGAGAACUUGCUUUUUGACGCAAAUAAAGAAGAAAUUAGAAAAGGAGAAAUGUUGGUAGAGUGUUUUCAAUCUAAAGAGACAUCAAAGAAAAAAGAAGCUUAAGAAGCAAGAGCUGCAAAAUCCAGUGGCCAUACAAAUGGAGAGUUGCAGGAUGAACAGCAGGAGAAUUCUAAAGUAAUUGCUGGCAAGUUGUAUGAAUCCAAACUGAAAUGGGAGAAUAAUUUAAUUGAUGACAAGGCAUACGGUGCAUACAAAUUGUUGCAGUAUUGUAUAUAUUCAUUGAUAUUAUAAGAAAUGCUAAAAAUUGUUAGUUUUCAUUUGUUCUCGACUUUUACUACAGCAAAAGAGGAUGCCAUACUACCAACGUUUGACACAUUCCAGAUCUCUGAAAACUGGCAAUAGUUUACUUGCAAAGAGUGGCAAUAUGUCUUGUCAGAGCCAAAAUUCAAGGCUUCCAAAGAGUUCAGUCAUAACAACAAAGAGUAAAAUACAAAGUGGCAAGGACAGAGUUUUAGCAUUUACAAAUAAAGGAAGCAGAGCAUAACAACAAAGAGUACAAUACAAAGUGACAAGGACAGAGUUUUAACAUUUACAAAUAAAGGAAGCAGAGCUGAGGUUGAGAAUGUUGAAGUCACAUCAGCUACAUCAAAGAGUGUCCACUUCAUAAGAAUAUAGAUCCUAAGGCAAAAUCACACUCUUCCACAACCUUUUACACUGGCUACUGAUAAAAGGGCUUCAUUUGGAUCGCAACAAACUGGCAGUGAAGCAGCUCAGAAGCAUUAUAGGCGUUCUUGCUACAAGUAAUGUGACAUCCCCUGUUGCUGGAAAAAAGCAGGUAAUGGGACGUUUUUCAAAAUUUGAUUAGUCCAAAUAGUUUGGAAGAGCAUCUAAAUCUUAACUGAGGGAAAAUGAUUCGAUGGUUGAUGUUUAUUGAUCUUGGUAAUGCAUGGUGUUUGAUAGAGAUAUGUUAUUUGGUGAUGCAUUGUGCUUCAAUUAUGAGAAAAUAGAUCCCGACUCGUAAUUUUUCGUUUGGAAUAUUCGUUAUUUGUACCGUUGACUGCAAAAUCUGCGCUAAGAGUUUCAGAAACCAAAAUUUCCCAUUCCAUUGUACACAAGUGAGUGUUUUUUAGCCUAAUGGAAAUUUUCCAGAAUCAUUGAAUUCGGGCCUAAUGGAAUUUUUUAAGAAUCAUUGUUAUAACGGAUGUGCAUUGAUAGUUGGCUUGUAAUAGUCAAACUGUUCUCAUUUCAGACAAUGUUGAUUUUAGCCUAAUGGAAAUUUUCCAGAAUCAUUGAAUUAGGGCCGCCUCAUGGAAAUUUUUUAUAAUCAUUGCUAUAACGGAUGUGCAUUUGAUAGUUGGCUUGUAAUAGUCAAAUUGUUCUCAUAUUCAGACAAUGUUGAUUUUAUGGUUAAUCGUACACAACCUAAUUGACAAUCACAGCAGACUUGGAACGAAUGUACUCAUAUUGUUGAUGUAUUAGUCUUCUCGAGGCAUUCAAGAUCAACUGAAGCCUCCAAAAGCAAAACAAAGAUUGUUGCUGCUUCCACUGUUACCAUAUCUAGAUGUAAUGAACGAGCUCAGAAGCGAAAAUAGGUCAUUCAAUACAACUUUGGGGUUCACAUAUAAUUCCAGUAGAUGAGGAAGGAACCAACCACUUUUGAUUUUAGAAAUGAGAGGAUUAUUGGAAAGUUCCCAGAGGAUAUGAUCAUAAUUAUGUCUUCAAUUGUGACGAAACAAAGGAUGGUCUGAAGCAUGCUGUCAAAAUUAAGGAUCCUUCCAGUUCUCAGUUUCUUAAUAAAUCAUAACUCAAUAAUUAUUCUGUGAUUUAAGUUUUCUGUAAGCUCUUUCACUUGAUUUUAUUUAUUUUCACUUGAUUUUAUUUAUUUUUAAUAAUUCAUGACUCAAUAAUUAUUCUUGUGAUUUUAGAAGAGGAGCCACAUACUGAUCAAGUAUGCAGAUCUACUUCAACAACAUUUCGAUCAGCUUGCAAUAUUGAAAACAUGGGAUGCUGAUAAUGUCUACUUCAAGCAUCUGAUGUAUCAGAGGCAGUAUAAUCAUAAGUAUCUUUGCCAUGUAUGUAGAGUGAUGCUGGAGUAUCUCAAUAGUUAUGGCAGUAAAUGCAAAAUCAAUUUUAAUUUUACAGAU
This is a long non-coding RNA of Cryptomeria japonica (Japanese cedar), 3253 nucleotides long. RefSeq lists it as uncharacterized. The record is from RefSeq and is a predicted model, not a curated record. The transcript is spliced from 5 exons. NCBI's taxonomy places the organism in Eukaryota, Viridiplantae, Streptophyta, Pinopsida, Cupressales, Cupressaceae.